GACGUUCAUUCGUUCGUGCACACACACACACACACACACACACACACACACACACACACACAUAUAUAUAUAUAUAUAUAUAUAUAUAUAUAUAUAUAUAUAUAUAUGUGUGUGUGUGUGUGUGUGUGUGUGUGUGUGUGUGUGUGUGUGUGUGCGCGUGUGUGCGUG
RNAcentral lists this microRNA precursor (168 nucleotides) under Trypanosoma vivax Y486. Lineage: Eukaryota; Euglenozoa; Kinetoplastea; Trypanosomatida; Trypanosomatidae. The record is from RNAcentral.